UACGGGGGGAGCAAGCGUUGUUCGGAUUUACUGGGCGUAAAGAGCGCGUAGGCGGUCAGCACAAGUCAGUUGUGAAAUCUCCGGGCUUAACUCGGAAAGGUCAACUGAUACUGUUCGACUAGAGUGCAGAAGGGGCAACUGGAAUUCUCGGUGUAGCGGUGAAAUGCGUAGAUAUCGGGAGGAACACCCGUAGCGAAGGCGGCACUCUGGGCCGGAACUGACGCUGAGGAGCGAAAGCGUGGGGAGCAAACAGG
Molecule: ribosomal RNA, 254 nt
Filed under: uncultured bacterium
Lineage: Bacteria
Description: partial 16S ribosomal RNA
Rfam family: Bacterial small subunit ribosomal RNA
Source: RNAcentral